UUGCAGCCGCACACUCUUUAGGUUCGCCCAUUUCUCUAAUGGAGCUGUAACACUGGCUGCUGAGGUCCACAGCUUCAUUCCUUGAAGCCCCUGAGACACGAGCCCUUCAAUUGAGAAAAACCUUCGAUCGGAAGAAGACUUCUUGUCUCAAUGGGAUUGCUGAGUUGAAUGGCACCUCUGUUUUAAGUUCUCUGAAAAGUCUCCAAACUGCUUUCCAUAGUGGCUGAAGUAAUUUUCAUUCUCACCAACAGUGUGAAUUUUCCUCUUUUUUCAAACUUGAGAAGCAAAAGUGCCACAACAAUUGUGAAGCGAUUCAGAGGAAGAAUGUCAGCUUUUGACAAGUCAACUUUUAUCUCACUCGAAGUAACUGGAAGAAAUCAGCAGAUGAAAGGAAAAUUGAUGAUUGAUGAGACCUUCGGCACAAAAAGUCAUAUCUAGGUGACACAGAAGACUGAAGAGGUAUACAGAAGGAGAAAUGUUUCUCCCCCAGGGAGAAAUGAGGCUCAUCUCUUUAUCUUCAGAUGCUGCCAUGCCUGAGAAGUAGUCAUGUUAAGAGGAUGACAACGUACUUUGGGGGACUAACGAUUGUUCAGGGCGAGACUAUGGACAAAGAAAAUAAAAAUGUAAAAGGCAGAGAGAAUGAAAGAAGGU
This is a long non-coding RNA of Rhinopithecus roxellana (golden snub-nosed monkey), 651 nucleotides long. RefSeq lists it as uncharacterized. The record is from RefSeq and is a predicted model, not a curated record. The transcript is spliced from 5 exons. NCBI's taxonomy places the organism in Eukaryota, Metazoa, Chordata, Mammalia, Primates, Cercopithecidae.